GAUGAAGAACGCAGCGAAAUGCGAUAAGUAAUGUGAAUUGCAGAAUUCGGUGAAUCAUCGAGUCUUUGAACGCACAUUGCGCCCCCUGGUAUUCCGGGGGGCAUGCCUGUCCGAGCGUCAUUGCUGCCCUCAAGCACGGCUUGUGUGUUGGGCCGUCGUCCCCCUCCUAGGGGACGGGCCCGAAAGGCAGCGGCGGCACCGCGUCCGGUCCUCGAGCGUAUGGGGCUUCGUCACCCGCUCCGUAGGCCCGGCCGGCGCUUGCCGACGACCAUCAAUCUCUUUCUCCAGGUUGACCUCGGAUCAGGUAGGGAUACCCGCUGAACUUAAGCAUAUCAAUAAGCGGAGGA
This 347-nucleotide unclassified non-coding RNA is filed under the name soil metagenome. RNAcentral's name for it is "partial contains 5.8S ribosomal RNA, internal transcribed spacer 2, and large subunit ribosomal RNA". The stretch from base 1 to 120 matches the Rfam family "5.8S ribosomal RNA", at positions 35 to 154 of the family's 154-position model. The record is from RNAcentral.